This 8838-nucleotide long non-coding RNA is filed under the name Olea europaea subsp. europaea. Lineage: Eukaryota; Viridiplantae; Streptophyta; Magnoliopsida; Lamiales; Oleaceae. The record is from RNAcentral.
UAAGGAAUAUUCUGGGUUGCCAAUUUGAAACAAUUUGCAUUGAAGAAUCUGAUUUUCCAUUUUAUUGGAUCUGGGUUGGCCUCAAAAUCGUCCAUUUGGAUUCAAAACCCCAUCAGCUGGAAUUGUGUGUAAGUGUCAUCAAUGUUUUCAUCGGUUGGUGCCGGUGAUGGUUCGUUUGUAUACACGCAUACUCUUAAAAAUAUCAUAUGCAGUAUUGGCAAGGGUUCUUGUUCUUUUCGCUCCCCUCCAGGAUUCUUGGUUGAUGAUCAUCAAAACCCUAUAAGAUUUAAAAGGAUUAUUUCCGCUUGUAAAUGUAUCGCGGACAUCAAACCCACGAAAUUCACUGUAAGAACCAAAGGUUCUUCCUUCGAUUGUAAUUUAAUAUCUUUUUUUUUACUUUUAUAUUUGAAUAAAAUGCUUAGAAUUGCAUCUUUGAAGGCAUAGAAUUGGGUGCUGGGAGUAGAAAUUUUUUAAAAAUAGUUUGAAAUUGAAACCUUUCGUGGGUUUUAUGAUUUUGCAAUGUUAAGUUUAGCUGUGAUAUCAGAAUAUAUUUCUAUUGAUCUUAUUCAGUUGCAUUUCAUUUAUUUUUGUCAGUUUGUUAUAUACAUUUGUCAUCUAACUAUCGAGUUUUGCUUUUAAGGAGUAUUUGGGGUCAAGAAGUUAAUUUCUUCUUAAAUUAAUAGUUUUGCCAAACUGUUUGUUAGAUUAUCAUUCCGUGAACUUAGAUUUGUCCACAAAUUUCCAUUAAGUUUAUACCUGAUGGUGCCAUUUUUAGUAUUUAUUUUAGCAGAUCACGGACGAUAACUAAGUUUUGCUUCAUAUAGCAUUUUGUUUUAUACUCAUAGUUUCUCAAAUGCAUUUUUCCUUUAUUAUUUAUCCAUUAGUUUGCUUCACACUUGAUCUUGAUGUCAAUGGGCAACCUGUAGAACAGACUCCAUGUUUGGAUGACAAUUGCUAAAGGUUGAAUUUGAUUGAGCUCACAUUACUUCUGUUCAAAUCAUUUUCAGUGAGUUCAUGGAGCAGUGUAUUUGUAUAGUUAAGCUUAUAGUACCUUUGUUCAUAUUCAUUACAGUAAGUUCAUGAGGCACUGUAUCUAUGUAUUCCUUCUCCAGGGUUCACAUGAAACAGAGAAUUUGAGUGUGGGAAAAGAGCUUGACGAUGAAUCACACGUGCUUAUUGAAUGUAGAAAUGUCUACAAGUCAUUUAGAGAAAAGCAUAUCUUAAGAGGUGUGAGCUUCAAGGUGAAAUUUCUUCUUUGUAAAAUUAAACGUGUUAUGCUAUAUGUUUCUGAUUUAUGCACAUCCUGGAUAGGUUGUCCCCCUCUCUUUUCCAUGCCUAUGUGCAUCUAUUGUGUUCCAUCAGUUUCUACAUGUAUCACAUGACGAUAUCAUGGUAUACCCAUUUCUCUAUUGUAUAUAAUUGGCAAGUCAUAUAAUAAUGCACGUUUAGAGUUUAAGAUUUAAAUAUUAUUUUAUUUACCAUUUAUCUUAAGAAUAUUCCUAAUCUCAUGGCGUAUUAAUCUUACUUUAGCCCAUUUGUAGAUUAGGCAUGGGGAGGCUGUUGGAAUAAUUGGGCCUUCUGGGACUGGUAAGUCAACCAUCUUGAAGAUCAUGGCUGGGCUUCUUGCUCCUGACAAGGUAAUUCUCAUUGUCUCUCAUUUUAGAACUAUCUUUUAUCUUGAUAUAUCUUCACCAUUCUGCUUUUCAUAUAGAUUGACUUUCUUCAAGUUGAGAUCUUUGUGAACUAUGUUUAAAUGUUAGGGAGAGGUUUUGAUUUGAGGUAGAAGGCGUCAUGGUUUGAUCAGUGAUGAGGAAAUAUCCGGUCUUCGAAUAGGCUUGGUAUUCUAUAUCAAGUAUAUAAUUCAUAGUUAUCAUAUUAUAAUGAUAUCAAAUGGUUUUUUAAAUCUCUUUUGCAAUGUAACAGGUUUUUCAAAGUGCAGCUCCGUUUGAUUCUUUAACUGUUCGCGAAAAUUUUGGUUUCUUUUUGUAAGACAUGAUUGCGAAUCCUUUAAGAUUAUUAAUGGAUCUUUGUUUCUUUACACAUUUCCAUAAUAUAGUUGUAAAAUUUUCAUAUUUCUAAGUCUCGCAUCUGCUCUUUUUUGCUGUGAAAGAUAUGAGAAUUCAACUAUGCCUGAGGAUCAAAUUGAAGAGCUUGUCACUGAUACUCUAGCUUCUCCUCUCGUCCAAGGCUUCCUAAGUUUUUAGGCUGUCUCCUUCGAUCCUUGUUGCUCUGUCUCAGCAAUGUACUUGCCCUCUUCCUUAGUCUUUUUAUUGAUCUCUCUAUGUACUGAAUUCUCAAUAUUAGGGUAGAUCUUGAACUUCUCUUGCUUAUCUUCCACUUUAAAUGUCAGUUCGUCACUUUCAAAGUCCAUGACAGCGCGACUUUUUGAUAGGAAGGAUUUGCCCAAGAUAAGUAAUACUGCAUCACAUGGCUCUUCUAUAUCUAGGACAAUAAAAUCAACGGGGAACAUGAAUUUGCCCACUUUAAUGAGCACGUUCUCAACCACUCAUCGCGGGUAUUUAUUCAUCCGUCUGCCAAUUGAAGGGAAAUGGAUGUGUCAUUUAGCUUUUGCAAUCCUAAUUUCCUGUGUACAGAGAAAUGCAUUAGGUUUAUUCUUGCUCCUGAGUCACAUAAACGAUUAAAAUGUGAAUCAUUCCCUAUUGAGCAAGAUAUUUUGAGACUCCCUGGAUCUUGUAGCUUAGGAGGUAAUUUGUUCUGUAAGAUGGCACUACACUCCUUAUUUAACUUGAUGGUCUCAAAAUCUGUAAGCCUUCUCUUUUUGGAUAGGAUCUCCUUCAAAAACUUUUCAUAGUUCGAUAUUUGAGAUAUAGCUUCAAUCAGUGAGAUGUUGACAUGAAACUUCUUGAAGAUAUCCAAGAACCUUGCAAAUUGAUCUUCCAACUUUCUCUUUUGUAAUCUCUGCGGAAAUGGGACCGUAGGCACAUAAGAUUUGAUAGGAACGAUUGGCUUGAACUGUAGAUUUUCUAGCUCUUAAGAUGGAACUACUUUGUCUAGUUGUUCAGAUUUAUCCAUUUGCCCCUUAUCUAUAAAAGGUACCUUUUUAUUUUCUAUCAUCCGUCUCUCAACUGUAAUUUCUGGAAGUUGAACCCCAUUGCGUGUAAUGAUUGCCACAACCUCCUCAUUCUCUACAACUUUUAUUAUCAUUACCUACUGCUUAGGAUUUAUCUCAGUGUUGCUUGGCAAUACUCAUUCUUAUCCUUAUGAGAGUGCUUUUGUUAUUUGACCCAUCUGGUUUUCCAAAUUCUUGAUGGCAGUUCCUUGAACUUGCAAGGCUUUAUCUGUUCUUUGUAUGUGUUGUGUAGAGAUCUCCGCCAAUUUAGUAACAAUAUCUUCUAAUGAAGACUUAUUUUCAGCCUAUUGAAAACCUGGCGGUGCAGUCUGCUGUGGCGCAAUCUGAGCUCUCUAAUAGUUGCUCUAUUAAAAAACUUGGAUGAUUUCUCCAGCCUGGGUAGUAGGUGUUAGGAUUCUGAUUGGGUUGCUGUCUUUGCAAAUUUUGAGGAUAAUUUACAUCUUCUAGUGAUUGUGCAAAAGGACUACACACGAUGCAAUCAGCACUUUCAUGAUUUCCUCCACAAUGCUUUCAUUUUUGUCCGACUGCUUGAAUGACAUUCAUCUGAUCCACCUUUUUAGUUAAAACUGCCAGCUGUGCUGAGAUUGUUGUUAAUAGAUCCAAUUCAUGUAUCUUAGCUACUUUCUUUAUACUUGUUCUUUCCGUAUGCCAUAGUGCACUAGUGAAUGCUAAAUCCUUCAUGAUUUGAUAUACUUGAUCUGCUGUUCUCUUUAUGAUGGAACCAUCACAUGUGGAGUCAAACAUUAGCCCUGCUUGUCGGAUUUAGCCCGAUGUAGAAAUAUUGUGCCUGGAGCUAUUUUUGCAAUCCAUGCUGUGAACACUGACGAUGCAGCCCCUUAUACCUUUCCCAAGCUUCAUAAUAGCACUUUGAGUCAAGUUGAUAGAAUGUGGUGAUUUCGUCCAUCAACCUGGCAAUCCUUUUAGGUGGAAAAUAUUUGUUCAGGAACUUCUGACUCAAACUAUCUCAACUGGUGAUGCUGUGUGGAGGAAAAGUAUCCAUCCAUUCCCUAGCUGAAUCUCUCAAAGUGUAAGGAAAAAGCCUUAGCCGAAUUGCUUCGCUUGAAACACCUGAAUAAUCGAUUGUUGCACACAUGUCUAAGAAUCUUGAGAUAUGAGCAUUGGGAUUUUCAAUAGGUUUUCCAAAAAAUUGCAGUGUAUUUUAGAACAUGUUGAUCACAUCUAUCCUCAAGUGAAAAUUUGGUUGACCAAAUGUCGGAUAUACUAUACUGGAUUGGCUCUCCACGACUGGUGGAACCAUAUACUCUCCCAUCAAUCUAUCGUUUUCGUUGGCUGCAACUUUAUUCGGUUGCUCUACACCCGGAUUAGCCUUGAUGGCUAUUUAAUUUGGAUUUUGUUCUGCCAUGAGCUCUGCUUGCUAUUUUUGGUGUGUUUCUAAUUGUUCUCUUCUCCUUGACCUGAACGUUCACUCGAUUUCUGGAUCAAAUUGAGCAAGAUCUCCGAUUCUCGAACUUUGCAUACAAAGUCCUGGAAAGGAAAAAUAGAAAACACUGUAGUAUUUUUCUAAAUUAAUGAACUGACUAAAAAAAUAUAAAAAAUUAAAAUAAAAUUCAGAUUAAAGUUAAAUUAGUUAAAACUUAUUAAAAACUAUAGUCCACGGUAACGCCGCCAAAAACUUGGUCGUUUGAUUUCCUGUAAUUAAACGGGAUCGUGGACAAAUAAUAAAGUGAUGUGUAGGUUCGAUCAACUUAAAGCUAACACUACUCUUAAUCGAAUAGUAAAAUCGAGUUAUAAUUAAAAAUUAUUAAAUCUGUCAACUAAUUUAAAAGCAAUGUAAAGAAAAUUUAUCAGAUUCGCAAAAAAUAUUGCUAAAAUGUAGAAUUUCCCUUAUUAAUCUAUUUUUAGUUCGAUGAUUUAAAUUGAUAAUUUGAAGUCAUGCUUGUUGGUCAAUGUUAUUAUUUUAAUUGAAACAUCUCUCGAUAGUUAUCAAAUCUAUUCCCCUCACACGACCUUCCUAUCUUUUAAUGAAAGAUGCGAACAUGAUAAAUGCAUUAAACAAGAUAGGACAUCUUAUAAAAUCAUGUGAAGUAUAGAGGUAUAUUUCUAUCCUCUAUCGAACUUUGCAAUAUUUAUUACUAUGUGCUAACGAUCUUAUUACCUCUCUCGAUGAUAAUAAAAUUCACAAACAAUUCAAUUAAUGGCCAGAUAAUUAAAAAGCAAUUUAAACCAUAAUAAACAUCCAAAAAUUCAAACAAAUUUAACGUCAAUCUAAUUAUUCAUACCAAAAAUUUAUAACAAGAGUUCAUUAUAUCCUAGGAAUAUAAAAAUCUAGCCAUGCAUAAUGUUGAAAUUAAACAUGGAAGAGUUAAAAGGCAUCACCAAAAUUUUUGACAGAACGUGAUUUAUUCUUCUAUCCACAUGCCUUCCGUCCGCCGUCUAUACGUGUAUUUAUCUUCAACUCUUCACUGCCUCUUUUCUUUGAAUCUUCCGUGUUUUUGCAGUCUAUAUAAUAAAGCAUACAGCACCUUUUUAUUUCCAGCAGCCCCAAAUCUCUAAAUGCGUGAAUGUACUUUGUCUCCCCACCGAAUUCCCUUUUUUCUUCUCUCCAGCCGCCGUUCUUGUGAUUAUAUUUUCUCCAGCCGACUCCUCCAAUGUGUGUAAAAAAAAUAAUAUUGCUGCCCACUUUUCUCUCUUUUUCCACCCACCAAUUCAGCCCAACAAACUCUCCCCAAAGCUGCUUCAAUUUAUGUUAUUAAAUUGGAUAUAAUCCAGCAGCAGCAGCCGCCAUCUUUUUGUGUUCCCAUUCCUAGCAGCUCGGCUUUUUUUCUUUAUUGUGCGGAAUCUAAUAAUCUCGGCUGCCCUCUUUAUUCCUGUAGACGUGGCAUAUAUAUAAUAACCUAACAGCCCACUAAUUGAUUCCAAAAAAGACUCCAAUUCCCCAUCUAAUUGAGGCCCAAUUAUAAUUUCACCCUUUUUCACUCCAAGACCUCAAUUCUUUUAAUAUAAUGAAAUUCAAUCAUUGCCCAAUAAAUUUGUUGCAACCCAUAUAUUCUUUGAUUCAGUGCAAGUCCUUCACUUUCCAAAGUAUGAAAUUUGAUAUGCAAGCUUUGCAUCCAAUGGCCAACUUAGUACCCGUACUUUGGAUUUUGCCAUCUUUCGCCAAUUUUUGUUUAUUCCUUCAAUUCCUUUUCAUUUAUAGAAUUUACUUAUUAAACAUAAAAUACAACAAUUUAUGAUAUGAUUUGUCAAAAGAACUAUCAAAUAUUACUAUUUUAGGACCCAAAUAAGAGUGUAAAAUACACUUAUCAAAAAGCUUGCUUGCUGCCCUGGUAUUGAGAAUACAUUUGGAAUUGCUAUAUUCUUUGCUACCUCUUUUCUCUUUAACUUCAAUAGAUAGUUAAUGCCUAGCUUGAUUGAGUUUAAACAAAACUAAGAUUUUAAUCCUACUUUGGUAUUUCCUUCUUUCUUUAGUUAUGGGGAUUGUAGAAAUGCAUGGUGAACAUUGCUGAUGCAAUCAUAGGUGUAGACAGCAUUUUGGAGAUCUUUAGUCAAUAUAGAAACUACAUAACACUUAAAAUAGAUCUACACACAGCGCCAGAGAGUGGAUGGGCAAUCUCAGGGUAGAUAGGAUAAAGACUACACAAUGACAGCUCUUCUGAUAUGAAAUUGUAUUUUUCUUUAAGCUCGAAUAAGUUUAAUUGAAAGGUGGUCAUUUGCCUCUCUGGUGAUAGUUGCAUUCACAUCUGAGCAGGUGCUCCUGUACGAUGAACCAACUGCUGGACUGGAUCCAAUUGCAUCUACUGUAGUUGAGGAUCUCAUCCGCUUUGUUCAUAUCAAAGGCAAGGACGCACUUGGGAAGCCUGGAAAGAUUGCAUCAUAUGUUAUUGUCACUCAUCAACAUAGUACAACUAGAAGAGCCGUUGAUAGGUACGCAUCAAUUUUUAAAACUUCGUUUAAGUUCAUCCAUUUUACAAUUAAGGUAAUUGUCUUUCGGGAUGCUUGUUGGUAAUCUUUGUUGGAAAAUUACACCGAUAAUUGUGCAUAUUAUAUUCACAAUAAACAUAUCGUUUAUUUGCAUGAAAUCGAAACGUAUUCCAACUUACUGAAAUUGGAUUUAAUAAGGCAAAAUGAGAAUUUACCGAUUUUGAAGAGUAUGAAUGUGGAACCUUCUCUUUCGAUUUUUGAACGAUUGAACUGAAUCUGAAGAAUAUGAAUCUUUCGAUUCUUGAACGAUUGUACCUUGCAAUAUAAAUAUAUAAAUUAGAUUAAUCAUUUUCUAAAAUUAAAUCAUAAUAAAAGGAAAUCAGAAAAUGAGAAUGAAGAUGCAGGUGAUGAAUUUUUGGCCGAGGUAAGUGUUGAACACUUUGUCCUUAAGAUGAAGUUGUCCCACAUCGGUGCUAACGGUUUUUCGGCAAUCAUCUCCCAAGAUACAACCACCACGUCAAGUUAUAGGAGCACUCCAAAUGACUUUGACCAGCAAACUCGAACUGAAUUCCCUCUCUACAAUGAUCAUGACCAUGACUUUGAUGCAAAUGUUUUAUGCAAAACCAAAGUAUAAAUUGGAAUGAAAUAAUAUGGUAUCUAUGACUUUUCUUGAAUGAAUAAAAUUCAAACACAUGGGGUCUAUAUAUAUAAUAGUUGGAAAUGUAUGUCAAAAGACACAACUAUACCAAGAAACACAUCUCUUGGAAUUCAUAAUUAUUGGACAUUAAUCAUACCCAUACCAAGAGUCGUGAUCUUUCAUACGAAAAGUCACAUUUUUUCCUCCAUAUAUUUCUAGAAUAUUCCACAAUAUUUUAUACGAUUUUUCCAAUAAUUUUCAGUAUUUAAGCGGUUUACAUUUGACUUAAUUUCUCAUUCACCAAAUUAAGAAUUCCACUUAGAUAAUUAUGUAAACUUUUAGAUACAAAAUUUCAACACUCUUCUCCUCCAAAAUUAACACCAUAUGUAGGCUGUUAUUUCUCCAUGAAGGAAAGGUCUUUUGGCAAGGGAUGACUGAUGAAUUCUCCUCAUCAACAAAUCCAAUUGUUCGGCAGAUAAAAUUUAUUAUUCUCCUCAUGAAAUCUAACAAUUUUCUUUCCAUUAUUGUUUGAAUCCUCCCACGGGAAUCCGUUGUGCAGUUUCAUUGAAUAUUAUGUGCACAAGAAUUUCAGAAACAUUAAAAUGACAUUGAGUAAGUAACAUGAUAACCCCACUCUUGUUUUAACUUCACCGUUUCUAUGUACACCAGCCCACAAGCUUGCAUUUGCACAAAUUGUAGAUGUUUGAUUGACCGCAUUGCUUUUUAUUUACCACAUAAUUGGAUACUUUCAGUUUGCAUCUGGGAGCUUGGAUGGACCCAUUAGAUAUUAGCAAAUUGAGGCAACACACUGAAUAUGGGUUCUUGAAUACCAAUUUCUUCAUAUUUCAAGUCAUAUUUUAUGACAAUUGAGACGUGAUAGAUUUUCCCCCGUGAAUUGGAGUGAGGAAUAGUUUCAAGUUUGAUGAAAUGUUCAAUGGCCCGGCAAUACAGUCCACCGACAUCCCCCUUUCCCCAGUUUUGUUCCGUCCGAUUAUUCUUCCUUCAGGCUUUGCUUUAUACUCGGGUCAUAUGGGGCCUUGUUGGAUAGCAUUGUCAACGUGAAACGAGUUGAAAUAGAACUAGUUGUGAUGCCUACUUCAUUAGAGGAACUCACUCUCCUUGUGUUUUGUAAGAAUCAAAAUUGAUGCACAGUAGCAUUUUUAGGUAUAGUUGUAACUAACAGAAAUGAUAAACUGAUGUACCAUUGAUUGAUGAGAUAUAAUCCCAC